ACGUCUGUAGCUCAGUGGAAGAGCACUACCUUGACUUGGUAGGGGGCAGUGGUUCAAAUCCACUCAGACGUA
RNAcentral lists this transfer RNA (72 nucleotides) under bacterium endosymbiont of Pedicinus badii. It matches the Rfam family "tRNA". From Rfam's summary of the family: Transfer RNA (tRNA) molecules are approximately 80 nucleotides in length. Their secondary structure includes four short double-helical elements and three loops (D, anti-codon, and T loops). Further hydrogen bonds mediate the characteristic L-shaped molecular structure. tRNAs have two regions of fundamental functional importance: the anti-codon, which is responsible for specific mRNA codon recognition, and the 3' end, to which the tRNAs corresponding amino acid is attached (by aminoacyl-tRNA synthetases). tRNAs cope with the degeneracy of the genetic code in two manners: having more than one tRNA (with a specific anti-codon) for a particular amino acid; and 'wobble' base-pairing, i.e. permitting non-standard base-pairing at the 3rd anti-codon position. Lineage: Bacteria; Pseudomonadati; Pseudomonadota; Gammaproteobacteria. The record is from Rfam by way of RNAcentral.